Molecule: unclassified non-coding RNA, 384 nt
Filed under: soil metagenome
Description: partial contains 5.8S ribosomal RNA, internal transcribed spacer 2, and large subunit ribosomal RNA
Rfam family: 5.8S ribosomal RNA (bases 1-120)
Source: RNAcentral
GAUGAAGAACGCAGUGAAAUGCGAUAAGUAAUGUGAAUUGCAGAAUUCAGUGAAUCAUCGAAUCUUUGAACGCACCUUGCGCUCCUUGGUAUUCCGAGGAGCAUGCCUGUUUGAGUGUCAUUAAAUUCUCAACCUCACCCGUUUUCUGAACGGGUCGAGGCUUGGAUGUGGGGGUUUGUGCAGGCUGCCUCACUGGCGGUCUGCUCCCUUGAAAUGCAUUAGCGAGGUUCAUGCUGAACUUCCGUCUAUUGGUGUGAUGAUUAUCUACGCCGUGGACGAGGAUCAGACUCGCUUCUAACUGUCCGCGAGGACAAUACCUUGACAAUUUGACCUCAAAUCAGGUAGGACUACCCGCUGAACUUAAGCAUAUCAAUAAGCGGAGGA